Molecule: ribosomal RNA, 238 nt
Filed under: uncultured Saccharopolyspora sp.
Lineage: Bacteria; Bacillati; Actinomycetota; Actinomycetes; Pseudonocardiales; Pseudonocardiaceae
Description: partial 16S ribosomal RNA
Rfam family: Bacterial small subunit ribosomal RNA
Source: RNAcentral
UACGGGCAGACUUGAGUUCGGUAGGGGAGACUGGAAUUCCUGGUGUAGCGGUGAAAUGCGCAGAUAUCAGGAGGAACAACACCGGUGGCGAAGGCGGGUCUCUGGGCCGAUACUGACGCUGAGGAGCGAAAGCGUGGGGAGCGAACAGGAUUAGAUACCCUGGUAGUCCACGCCGUAAACGUUGGGCGCUAGGUGUGGGGACUGUUUCCACGGUUUCCGUGCCGUAGCUAACGCAUUA